GUGCACUCUUUGGCAUCACAUAUACUAAAAUUGAAAUGAUACCAAAAAGAUUAGCAUGGCCCCUGAGCAAGGAUGACACACAAAUUUGUGAGCUGUUCCUUAUUUUA
Molecule: small nuclear RNA, 107 nt
Organism: Lutra lutra (Eurasian river otter)
Lineage: Eukaryota; Metazoa; Chordata; Mammalia; Carnivora; Mustelidae
Source: RefSeq, a predicted model, not a curated record